AAACAGAACGGAAGUUGUGAAACUUCCAAGAAUAGAAUAGUUUAGUUAAGUCUAGUUUAGUUUUUGUGUUGAAGGGCUUCUACCUCAGAGGAGGAUUUAGAAGCCCUUUCUAU
Bacteroides fragilis YCH46 is the source of this 113-nucleotide non-coding RNA. The record is from Rfam. NCBI's taxonomy places the organism in Bacteria, Pseudomonadati, Bacteroidota, Bacteroidia, Bacteroidales, Bacteroidaceae.